UAAAUUGGUUAAAUUUGAAGGGAUGGAUUAAUAAUUUAAUUACAGUGACCUUCUUUGGUUCUAUUCAUUCCAGUGAGUCAUCUCUCAUUCAUGUUCCUCCAAAAUUAAUUCUCUAAAAUCAGUGCACAUUCACUAAUCCAAAUAUAAUGUGCAUUCACUCAUUUGUCGUUGUGUACAUUACAUCACUUCGUCCGAUCAGUUGUGUACAUUACAUCACUUCGUCCGAUCAGUUUGUGUUGGAUCUGAGAAAAUUUAAAAGAAAGUGAAUGAAUGAAUUUCAUAAAAUAAAAAGAGAAUUGUUGUGGUGUUGUUUGUUUUAAAUGAUAAAUGGAAAAUUUUGACAAUAAAACUUUGAAGAGUUUGGAAAUGAUUUGAUAGUGUGAUAAGUAAAAAAAAAUUAUAUUUUAAUAAUCAAAUUUGUUAGAUUUUGCUUAUAAUUAAAAAGAAUAUAAAAUUAAAGUUAACUAUUAUUAUUAUUAUUGUAAUUAUUAUUAUUACCAUCAACAUCAUUAUUAUUAUCAUUAUUUUAUUAUUAUUAUUAUUAUCACUCAACAGGAAAUUUAAGAAAUAGGUUAGUUUUAAUGCAAAUUUUAAGCAGCAAGUUAUCACGUCUGUUUUUACGUGAUAGAUUACAAAAAUUAAAAUUAUUAUUACAGUAAAUAUUAAUUAUACCACAUCGCUGUAAUAUUAAUUUUAAGUAAUAAAGAAGAAAAUGUUUAUUAUUACAAAAUGGUUUUAAUUAUAACGGAUUUGCUUGCUCCCCAAGACAGGCACUAACCUUCCAGAAUCUCCUACAACAGAAUAUCACUGCUCUGGAACCUUCUCGACCUUCUUCUAGCGCCUUCUAGCUCCUCCAAAUCCUUCUCCUCAAAUAUCGCCCACUGUCGCAUCCAUUUCACUGCACAGAGAAUCUCUCAAUAGAAGCUACCUUUUUGCAAUCUCAAUG
This 946-nucleotide long non-coding RNA is filed under the name Vigna radiata. Its description in RNAcentral is "long non-coding RNA (VRAD_LNC001407)". The record is from RNAcentral. Lineage: Eukaryota; Viridiplantae; Streptophyta; Magnoliopsida; Fabales; Fabaceae.